Molecule: small nuclear RNA, 188 nt
Filed under: Podarcis muralis (Common wall lizard)
Lineage: Eukaryota; Metazoa; Chordata; Lepidosauria; Squamata; Lacertidae
Description: U4 spliceosomal RNA (ENSPMRG00000004875.1)
Rfam family: U4 spliceosomal RNA (bases 1-111)
About the family: U4 small nuclear RNA (U4 snRNA) is a component of the major U2-dependent spliceosome. The structure of U4 snRNA from yeast and human has been reported.
Source: RNAcentral
UACUUUGCGCAGUGGCAAUGUCGUAGCCAAUGAGGUUAAUCCGAGGCACCAUUAUUGCUAAUUGAAAACUUUUCCCGCAGGGCCAUCGAUUUGUUGUGACCACUAUAGAGGUGUGAGUACAUUGCAGCUGAACCAGGAACAGGCAACAACAACAACAACAAUUUAUUAUUUGUACCCCGCCCAUCUGG